GAAGAGACUUAAUUGUUUAAUGUAAAUAUAAAUUUGUAACAUACCAGUUUUUUUUUUCAUAGUAGUUUUAUUGUAGACCACUAGGUGGCAGUGGUAUAAAGAAUAAAGACUUGCGUCCCUGGGUGGGCUCGAACCACCAACCUUUCGGUUAACAGCCGAACGCGCUAACCGAUUGCGCCACAGAGACGAAGUUGUGCACCAUCAUGACGUCAUUGCUUUUUAUGCGUUAUGCUACAGCUCAGACAUUAAGAAGGGAAAAACAUUGGGGGCUCGAACCCAUGCGCGCUCUGACCCGCUCUGCGAAAUAGUUGAGCUUAGCUUCCCUUAACUUUUCCCAUUCAUUCUCUAUGGUAGUGCUUAACACUACGGAUGCAAUAUAUUUGUGGCCACGCGUAGAUUUCGUGGCGCUGUUUCGCCUUUUCCGUGACAGGGAUUCACAGCGGAUAACUAUUAACUAUUGCGUAAUUGAUUUGUUAUUUGUCGCAAGAAGUCUUCAGAUUUUAGCUCAAGAAUGUUUUUUUUUAUUAUUAUUUAUUUUAUUAUUAUUUUUUAACCUCUCACCAAGCAGGAAUGUUCAGAUGAUGCACAGAGCAGGUCACCCCAAAGACUGUCUUAUUCCACCAUAACAUCACACCAGGCACUGCGGUGUGAGUCCUGCGGGACUGCCAUCCUCCAGCGUCACUGGGGUCAGAGUAUCCCUUGCCUCCACCUCCAGCCUCUGAGGCCCAGACUCCACCUCGGCCCGUAGACCCAGCGGCUCCACCUAGGCUCCUAGCUCCCUCGCUUCCAGCGUCACCUGUCAAUUCAUCAGCUCUGCCUUGGUCGGGCGUUGACCCACCGUCACCUCUGGACUCCUCUGGCUGCACCUUGUCGCUCUGCCCCACUGGCUCCUUAGGGCUCCUUCCUCCCGCCAGCUCCACCUUGCUCCUCAGUCUCUCUGGGUCUGCCACAGAUCUCCGCCUCGGUCACCAGAGCCCUCAGCUCCACCCUGACCUCGGCAUCCCCUUGGCACGUUGUCGCGCCGUCUCUGCUUUGGGCUCCUCCUCCCUGGCUCCUCCCUCCAUUGGCUCCUCCUUCCUUUGGCGCCCUCCUGGUCUCUGUCUACCUCCCAAGUUCCCACCCACGCCUCCCUCUGUUACUACAGUGUGAGGACGCACCUUUCAGGAGGGGGCAUUAUGUCAGGACUAUGGACUAUUAUGUGUGUGUUUUUUGCCCCUGUAACCCAGUUUCUGUCUCCCAUUGAUUGUUGAUUUGAUCCCAGGUGUGUCUCCUUAGUUCCCUCGUUAUCCUGAGUUUAAAAGCCCUAGUCUACUGAGUUCAUGUUUGUAGGGUCUACUCGUUGUCUACGUGUGUCUUCCAAUCUCCUUGUGUGGAUUAUUCUUUUGUGAUUCCUGGAUUAAAGACUAUAAAUGUUUCCCUCAUGCUCUGUACUACAGCGUAGUGUGACACAUACGUAAUUAUUUAAUGUAAAACACAUUUGUCUUGUUUUUUUUUCUGUGUUCUCCAUAUCUUUACAUUUUAUUAUAUGUUGUUGUUGUUGUU
Molecule: long non-coding RNA, 1542 nt
Organism: Cyprinus carpio carpio
Lineage: Eukaryota; Metazoa; Chordata; Actinopteri; Cypriniformes; Cyprinidae
Source: Ensembl